RNAcentral lists this ribosomal RNA (498 nucleotides) under uncultured bacterium. RNAcentral describes it as "partial 16S ribosomal RNA". It matches the Rfam family "Bacterial small subunit ribosomal RNA", at positions 28 to 523 of the family's 1533-position model. The record is from RNAcentral.
GAUGAACGCUAGCGGCAGGCCUAAUACAUGCAAGUCGAGGGAGAAUGUUGGAUUCGUCUGACAUGAAACCGGCGCACGGGUGCGUAACACGUAUGCAACCUACCUUUAACUGGGGUAUAGCUCAGAGAAAUCUGAAUUAAUCCCCCAUAAGACUACGACAUGGCAUCAUGAUGUAGUUAAAGCUCCGGCGGUUAAGGAUGGGCAUGCGGUACAUUAGCUAGUUGGUGAGGUAAUGGCUCACCAAGGCUACGAUGUAUAGGGGGUCUGAGAGGAUGAUCCCCCACACUGGUGCUGGGACACGGACCAGACUCCUACGGGAGGCAGCAGUAGGGAAUAUUGGUCAAUGGACGCAAGUCUGAACCAGCCAUGCCGCGUGAAGGAUGAAGGCCCUAUGGGUCGUAAACUUCUUUUAUUAGGGAAGAAAAAACGGGAUGCGUCCUGUACUGACGGUACUUAAUGAAUAAGGAUCGGCUAACUUCGUGCCAGCAGCCGCCGUAA